AGAGUUUGAUCAUGGCUCAGAGCGAACGCUGGCGGCAGGCUUAACACAUGCAAGUCGAGCGGGCGUAGCAAUACGUCAGCGGCAGACGGGUGAGUAACGCGUGGGAACAUACCUUUUGGUUCGGAACAACAUAGGGAAACUUGUGCUAAUACCGGAUAAGCCCUUACGGGGAAAGAUUUAUCGCCGAAAGAUUGGCCCGCGUCUGAUUAGCUAGUUGGUGAGGUAACGGCUCACCAAGGCGACGAUCAGUAGCUGGUCUGAGAGGAUGAUCAGCCACAUUGGGACUGAGACACGGCCCAAACUCCUACGGGAGGCAGCAGUGGGGAAUAUUGGACAAUGGGCGCAAGCCUGAUCCAGCCAUGCCGCGUGAGUGAUGAAGGCCCUAGGGUUGUAAAGCUCUUUUGUGCGGGAAGAUAAUGACGGUACCGCAAGAAUGAGCCCCGGCUAACUUCGUGCCAGCAGCCGCGGUAAUAC
This 474-nucleotide ribosomal RNA is filed under the name uncultured bacterium. RNAcentral's name for it is "bacterial SSU rRNA". It matches the Rfam family "Bacterial small subunit ribosomal RNA", at positions 8 to 526 of the family's 1533-position model. The record is from RNAcentral.